CAACCAUCUCCACUGGGUAACGCGUUCACUUUAACCUGAAACUCAUCAGUCCUUCUCAGCCAAUCUUCCACCUGGGUUCUGGGCAGAUUCUCAUGCCGUUCAUUCUCGUCCAUUUCUCGCUGCAAAUCAUCUCUAAGACACACCAGAGCCUCUAUGUUUUUCUGCAGAUCAAUAAAAUUCUUCCGACUCGUCAAGAAGUUACCGAUCCUGCUGUAAAUCGAUUUAACUAGGAGUCGACAAGGUUCUGCUAAAAGUAAAUUGAGGGAUGCAGCCACCACUUCCAUGGCAAGUAAUUUCAGGAAAUUGAUGAUUCUGCUGAAUGAUCAUAAGAAAGGAGAAUGCGAUUGAAAAGGGUUUGGCGUACAGUAAAGCAAAUCUUUCGAUAUUGCAAGUACUUGUAUUUUUACGAUCUCACCUUAUCGGAAAUUUCCACCACAAUCGCCAUCGGUUACUGUUGGAGGUUUUCUUCGUAUUUGGAUUUCAUCGAUUACAGGUGGGCUAUCGUUGAUUUCUAUUUGUGAGUCUACGACAAUCUUUGCUGAAAAUUGUCGGCAGUUGGUCUUGGGUUUUCGGCUUUCGAAAGUAAUUUUUUGAUGGAGUUGAACUGCAGGUGAUCGAUUUUUCGAGUUGUUUGUCAUUUGCUUCUGCUUCUAUGUGGAGGAGACAUAUCUUUUGGAUUUUUGGAUAGGUAUAAGGUUUGUUCGGGCCUUUCCUUUGAUGGCCUGUACAUUUAGAUUUAGGGAAAAAUUCGAUUAACUGUGCACAAUUCAAAAAACAUGUUUAAAGUUUAACUAAUGCAAAAAUCAAAUUUUUAUCUAAUUAAUUAAAAAUAUUUAUUAAUCAAAUAUAAUAAAAUUACAAUUAUAAAAUUAAUGAUCAUGUGUACACAUUUAUAGGUCACAUAUUUAUUUCUUGGUUACAUAUCUUCAAAUUAAUUGGUCACAAAUUAUUUCGAGGUCACGAAUCAAAACUUUGAUAGGUCACAGAUAAUUUCGUGAUCAAGGAUCAUAAUUUAUCCAUCAAUUUUAUAGGUCACAGUUUAUGUCAUUGGUUACAAAUCUAAAAAUUAUAGGUCACGAGUCACAACGAUAGGUCACAAUUUAUGUCAUUGGUUACAAAUCUAAAAAAUUAUAGGUCACGAGUCACAACUAUAGGUCACAAAUGGUUAUAAAUCCAAAAUAUUAUAGAUCAUAGGUCACGUAUUUUUGAAUUUGAUGGUCACAAAUUAUUUUUUAAUCAUAAAAUGAUCGAAUUUCAAGGUCACGGAUUAAUUGUCGGUCACAGACACCAAACACCGAUCUCGAUCCACCUUAGUACAUGGUCACAAAUACUCCACCACCAAACCCACCACCAUUGCCAUCGGAACCACACCAUCGCCGCCUAAACCAAAUCACCAAGAAAAACUGUCAUCAUGUCCUUCACCACACCACCACACCUCCAACAAGACACCGACCAAGAAAGCCGACCACAAAUGCCACCACCGCACCCACAUCCACGCUGUACAGAGUCCACCACCAUACAAGACACCGUCUUUGCACAAGACACCAUCCAAAUCCAUCGCCAACCAAACACAUCACCACCCAAAAAAUUAUAGUCACAGGUCACAUAUUUUCAAAUUUGAUAGUCAAAUAUUACUUUUUUUAGUCAUAGAUGAUCAAAUUUUAAGGUCACAGGUCAAAUAGUUGAUCACCACCAACUCCACUGUCACCACCGUCACUUGCAACCACCAUCACCUUGUCGCCACCGGCACCGCCAACACCAACAUCAACAAAAUCAACACAACUAGAUCCAUCAUCACCACCAAACACAAAAAAAAAACCACCAUUGCCGUCUGAACCACACCAUUGCCGCCUCCAAAUCCACCACCAACACUGUCGCGCGCCAAAAAUACAAACAUCACCACACUGCACCACACCACAACACCCACAUAGCACCAACAAAAUCGACUUCCACAAACAUAGAACUCAUAUCACACGCCACCAAGACAAACCGGCUUCCACUCACACCGCACCAACAAUCCGGCUUUUACACACUUCUGCGCAUCGAGCCAUUGUUGCAUCGCCGUCGACUAGUUGGUCGCACAGCGCAGCCACGAUGACGCUGCUGUGAGAGUUGACUCCGCGACGCUCAGAUCGACGAGUGACGACUUCGAUCGGCCAGAUUGCUCACAACACCGGCUGCGAGGGCAUCGCACUGCAGCAACUAUGCUGUCGCUCGACUCUCACGUCUCCGGUGGCGGUGCUCUUCAACGAUAAUGGAGUUUUGAGGAAGAGAGAGGGUAGAAAGGGGGAGAGUGAGAGGGAGACGGUGGAGAGAGAGACAGAGGGAGGCGAGAAGUGAAAAAUCUGAGGAUAUGAAAAAAUGAUUAUGGUUUGUUUGAAUUAGGUAGUGUGGGUAUAAAUAAUACAUGAUUUCUGAUUAAAACACAUUUGCACUUAAUUUUUGCACUCACAUCUUUAAAUACCGGAAAUCCUGUAAUUUCCUCUUAGAUUUAUUUACGUUGGGCCAAUUUCAUAUUGGGCUUUAGGCUUUGUUGACAACAUCUUAGGAUUUACUUAUUGUUGCAUUGGAAUCACAUAAUUUUGGAUUGGGCUUGCUAUUUUAUUAGAUUUGACUUGUUAAAUUCUUUAUUUUACUUAAUCAUGCUGGUAGAAAACUUAUUAUUCGUUUCAAUGGCAAAAACUUCUCAGGUUGGGAAUUUCAAUUUGGGAUGUUUGUGGAAGAAAACGAAUUAAAGGGUCAUUUAGAUAGUCUUCUACGGCUCCGACCAACUCCAAAGAACUCAAUUCUUGCGAAAGUAAGGAUGCCAACGUUGCUUCUAGCUAUUAAGUUUUGUUGAACCACAUAUGGUCAACAAUCUCCGCUCAUUCACUACUGCUAAAGAAAUGUGGGGUCAUCUCAAACGUGUCUACUAUCAGGAUAACAGUGCACGAAAGUUUCAAUUUGAGUUAGAAAUUGCGAACUAUAAAUAUGGUAAUCUUUCUGUUGACCAAUUUUAUGCUAGGUUCCUUAAUUUAUGGAGUGGAUAUUUCGAGAUAGUUCAAUCCAAAGUUCCUAAGGGAGCUUUAGCAGCGCUACAAGUUGUUCAUGCCGAGAGUGAAAGAGAAAGACCAAAAUUUGAAAUUAUGCUGGCUAGUUUACUGAAUCGUACCCCUAUUCCUUCCUUAGAUGUAUGCUUAAGUGAAUUAUUACGUGACGAACAGCGUCUUGCAACACAACUAGGCAUAACUCAAGAAACAGUGACUACUAGGAUGGUUAUAUGGCGUACGUUGCUCAAGGGAAAGGAAAAUCCAAGACAGAGAUACUGUAGCAUGCUUUUUUCUAUAAUGUUUGUAUUUCGGUUCCGCUAUUUGAAUUGCACUUAUAGUUUGGUUAAAAUUCCUUUUGUUUUACUGGUGAUAUAUUAAAUAAUGAUUGAUCGGGAUAUGUUUAGAUAUAUAAAGAUUGAUAAAGUUUCGAUUCAUUGGAAAUUGAUGAAUUUCAUUCUCUAACUAUUUUAUGAAAGUUGAAAGUAGUAGUAUUAGUUAGAAAACUUUAAUAUUUUCACACAAUCAAUACGCUCUAUCAUUCGUUAUUUUCGAAUCAUAAACAAGUUCAUUAAUCAACUAACCACACAAACAAUUAUUUUUCUAUUCAAAUCACAACUCACAAGUGUAUAAUAAGUUCAAAAGCAACAAAUAAAAGAAAGAACUGUGGAAAAAUGGCCUGAAUGAGAAUCUAAGACUUACCGAAAGAGAAGAGAGAAAGAGACGAUUUAGAUAGAAAUUAACAGAUUAACAGGCAAAUGCGAUUGAUGAUUCGUUCAGUAUUGUCAGACAAGCAUCAAAUGUUAGAGAAAUGAGAAUUUAUGUUAGAGCUUCCAAAGCUUUGGACAUGAUUGGCUAACGAAGUUUUGUUGAAUUAUGAUUUGGAUUGUUGAAUAUAUAUAUUUUUUCAUUUCAUAUGAUUUUGAAAUAAUUUUAAUUUAAUUUAGAUAUGGGUGAGAACGUGUUGUGAACUUGUUAAAUCACAAUAAUGAUGAACAUAGUUUACUUUCUAUGAUUAUUUCAAUAGGCUUAUUGUAAUUUGUAUUGAUAAAUUGAUAUUUUUUCUGAAAAGUGAAAACUGUAAAAUUUUUAAGUUAACAAAAUUAAUGUUUUAAUUAAAAAAAUUUUAAAACGAUUCGGUUCGUUUUUGUACGAUUUUUUAAAAUCAAAACCUAAACCAAACCAUUUUAAAACGAUUUGGUUCGAUUUGAAGAAAAAAACCACGAGUCCUCAUAGCUCUGAACCAAUGGUUUCAACUCAAUUUGCGGUUUCGCGAUUUUUUUGUGCAGCAGCAUGGGACGCCCAAAAGGUCUAGAUCAAUCGCAUGCCAAACGUCAUCCAAAAUAAGGAGAAAUCCUCUCUUUUUCGAGCUUUUUAUGCAGUCGAAUGCCAAUUCUUUCUUCACUCUCCUCCAUCUUCACCUGCAAAUUCAAUCUAUCAGCAAUUUGUAUCUGAAUUCUUCUCAAGUUUGUCUCUCUGGACGACGUAGCCCAUAUGAUAACACUGAAUGGUUGUGCUGAAGGCAUCUUGUUGAUCUCAUUAUUCAAAUUCUUCACCAAAGUAGACUUGCCUACUCCCCCCGUCCCACAAAUCCCAAUUCUCCUAACCUUAUCAUUGAUCAAAAGUUCCAUUGUCUGAAAUAAUUUCUGCGAUGCUGUUUUCUGACCCGUAAUCGAUGCACCCGGAAUAUGCUCGACCGUUUUCGGCUUCUCAAUUACAACCAACAUAUUCUCGAAGACAUUGCCAACUUCCAUAAGCUGUUUCACUUAAGCAAUUUUGCAAGUUUUCUGCUUAAUUUAUAACGCAGCCUGCAACCAUCUCCACCGGGUAAUGUGUUCACUUCAACUAGAGACUCAAUGUUUUUCUGCAGAUCAAUAAAAUUCCUCCGGCUCUUCAAGAAUUUACCGAUCCUGCUGUAAAUUUAUCUAACUAGGAGUCGACAAGGUUCUGCUAAAAGUGAAUAUAGGGCUGCAGCCACCACUUCCAUAGCAAGUAAUUUCAGGAAAUUGAUGAUUCUGCUGAAUGAUCACAAGAAAAGAGACUGCGACUGAAAAGGGUUUGGCAUAUUCUUGUGGUCAUUGACCUGUAUUUUUCCCAUACAAACAACUUUCACCCAAUUUGUCAAUCUGGUCACUAAACUAUAAUUUAGAGCAAUUAAGCUACUAAAAUGAAUCUUUGUUGUUGUUUUUGUUUUUUUGUUUUUUUUGUUUUUUGUUUUGUUUUUUUGUUUUUGUUUUUGUGGUUCCCUUGGACCACCAUUAUUCGAUGCUCUGUUCUCCUCAAGUCUCAUCUUCUGAAUUCAAUCCCUCACGAUGUUCUAUAUUAAAAUAAUUAUUACAAAAUACAUACAAUAUUAAAUACAUAUUCAACAAAAGAAGUGAACCUACCAAAUAGAUUGUUGGAAGGACUCUGCUAUUCAUAAUCAUUUGCAUUAUUCUCCUCUCAAUGGCUCUUUUUAUUUUGAAAUCUUCUUCCUCAUGUGUCAAUGAUGAGUUGCAUGGUAUUAUGAGAUAUGAUAUCAUGUUUUUUAGAUUUCUUCAGUGAUAUUAGAUUACAUUUAUAUUUAUUUUUAUCUCAAAAUAAGUUGUUUACUCUACUUGGAAAGUUAAGAAUUUGAUUUUGGAAUCCCUUAUUUUUUAAUUAGUUGGUGUUAUAGAUACACAUACACUGAAAGGCUAAAGAAAAUUGUCUAUAUAUGGAACAAAUAUAAGAAAAUGUACUCGUAGUUGUUGGGGGGUGAAAAUGAAUGAUUUACGGCUUGAUUUCUAUAAAUUGAAGUUCAGUGACUUUAUAAUAAGUGAAAGUUUUGUUAAUCUACUAAUCACGAUAGGUGGAUAGAGCUAACUCCGAUUAGCACAUAUAUAGAAGCCAAAAGAACGGCUUGAUUACUUUUUAAAUUAAAGUAUAGUAGCUUAAUCGCUUCAAAUUGAAAUUUAGUGACUCUAGCAUUCACCAAUAUGAUCUUGCUCACUCUUGAACUCUUCAGCAAGUUUAGCCACCGCCUCAAAGGCCGAGCUUUGAGAUGGUUCUAUAUACUCUUUUUGUCGAGGACUAACUUAUUUGACUCGUUGCUUUUUCUUGCCUUGUGUGAAUAAGUAACUUGUGCUAGGGAUUGCUCUGUGUGUUUCGGCUACAGAAGAUUCAUUUACUCAAGGUUAGGGGAGUAGGGUUCUGCCAUGUGUUGUUAAUUUGCAGUUAGUCUAUCUUAACUCCUCAGUUACUUUUGGUUGUGUGGUUACAUUGAUGUUCUUGAUCUUAAUUUUUGUUUUUGUUUCUCAUAAUUUUUCCAUUUUUCUCUUACUAAUGUUCCUUUUCAUACAGGAUUCCUAUUAUAAAUGGCGGCAACAAUGGCCAAACGGUAUACCAGGGGACUGAGAAUGGAGAACUAACCAAUAGGAGCAGUUCUGGCUCUCUGGACUCAAUGAACAACGUUGCCAUUGUAGUGGUUGACGAAACAGGUCGGGAUGGUCUUCAGGUUCCAACCGAAACAAAUAGGGGAUUUGUAUAUACUAAUGAUACCCCAGUAGUAAAUACUGGGCUAGGGACUGUAAAUACUAAAGAAAACUCAACAAUGGGUAGUCAGAUAUCUGUAUAAUACAGGUGGCUUGAUAAUUAUGAAAAAUCAAUCAAAAGAAUGCGACGAGCUUGAUUAAAGGUAUUUUUGGUAGGUCCUGCUUUAUUUUUUUAUUUAUCAUUUGUUUGUCAAUUCAUUAUUAAGUCUUUUGAUACCUCCUCUCGUUUUGUACCUGUCCUCUUAAUAAUAUUAGCUAAUAGUCGUCCUUGUUAUUUGCUUAGAACUUUUUGUAGACUGUUAUUGGCUUCAGUUUUUUCAGAUAAGCAAUUUUUCAUAGAGUAUGAUUUGCCCAGGUAUGAAGGUAUUCUUUUAUUGGUAGACUGUUAUUGGCUUCCUUAAAGUUUCAUAAUUGUGGGUGGAUUAUAUAGAGUGAGCAAUAGGAGCUUUGGACUCUGAUGUGGAAGUUUGAAAACCUUGAUGUUAGUUUUAUUCUGUGACUUUGUGAAUAUAGACAGCAAACUACAGAUGCUAUAAUUAGUUUUAAUAUGUAAAUGAAAGGUGGAUCACAACAUAGUAUUGGUGCAAGUUGAUUGGUCUAGAGAAUGUGACUUGAAUUGUGCUAGUUAUGAGGUGAUAUGGACCAUAGAUUAAAUCUAACCAUUGGAUUUAAUUUAGUGGUCAAUUAUCUAUACUAGUGUUGUCACUCUCUAAACCAUAAUACAAUAUUUGAAUUUUGAAUUCAAAUGAAUUGGCUCUAUAAUUUCAAGACCUCUUCAUUCUCUUGACUUGGACUUGGCAUAACAUUAGAGAGAGCAUAGAGAGAUAACCAAGUGGGAGCUUUCCAUAACUCCGGCAAAAUUCUUGGUGGCUUCCGGCGGAUUCUUUCUCGGUAUAUCCAUUGCCAUUCCCGUGGACGACGGUGCAUGAUCCGGUGUGGCACAAAUUUGAGCUCAACAUCAAGAACACUUCAUUGGUGGUGUUGAAGAAGCUUGGAGUCGGUUUUGGUUCUAUUUUACACUUUGAGAGUUUAUGAUUCCGCAUUGUAGUUGUAAUAAUCUUUUAUAUUCUACAAUUUAAACUCUACAGUAAAUGAAGGCAAUCUGUUUGAUGUAAUUUAUUGAUUGCUUCUCUGGAUGCCAUGUCUCUCCAUAUCUAAUAUUGUUAAAACUAAUAUGUUAUUUGUUGAGCUGCUCUAUCGUACUGUUGAGAGAAGGUAUGUCAAUUUUAU
This 7768-nucleotide long non-coding RNA is filed under the name Olea europaea (common olive). RNAcentral describes it as "long non-coding RNA (OEUR_LNC002021)". Lineage: Eukaryota; Viridiplantae; Streptophyta; Magnoliopsida; Lamiales; Oleaceae. The record is from RNAcentral.